AAUAGAUACCCAGGUAGUCCAUGCCGUAAACGUUGGGCACUAGGUGUGGGACCCAUUCCACGGGUUCCGUGCCGCAGCUAACGCAUUAAGUGCCCCGCCUGGGGAGUACGGCCGCAAGGCUAAAACUCAAAGAAAUUGACGGGGGCCCGCACAAGCGGCGGAGCAUGCGGAUUAAUUCGAUGCAACGCGAAGAACCUUACCAAGGCUUGACAUACACCGGAAAAGUGCAGAGAUGUGCUCCCCGUAAGGUCGGUGUACAGGUGGUGCAUGGUUGUCGUCAGCUCGUGUCGUGAGAUGUUGGGUUAAGUCCCGCAACGAGCGCAACCCUCGUCCCAUGUUGCCAGCGGGUUAUGCCGGGGACUCAUGGGAGACUGCCGGGGUCAACUCGGAGGAAGGUGGGGAUGACGUCAAAGUCAUCAUGCCCCUUAUGUCUUGGGCUUCACGCAUGCUACAAUGGCCGGUACAAAGGGCUGCGAUACCGUAAGGUGGAGCGAAUCCCAAAAAGCCGGUCUCAGUUCGGAUUGGGGUCUGCAACUCGACCCC
This 543-nucleotide ribosomal RNA is filed under the name uncultured bacterium. RNAcentral's name for it is "bacterial SSU rRNA". It matches the Rfam family "Bacterial small subunit ribosomal RNA", at positions 777 to 1319 of the family's 1533-position model. The record is from RNAcentral.